RNAcentral lists this ribosomal RNA (465 nucleotides) under uncultured bacterium. RNAcentral describes it as "partial 16S ribosomal RNA". It matches the Rfam family "Bacterial small subunit ribosomal RNA", at positions 338 to 795 of the family's 1533-position model. The record is from RNAcentral.
CCUACGGGAGGCAGCAGUGGGGAAUAUUGCGCAAUGGGCGAAAGCCUGACGCAGCGACGCCGCGUGAGGGAUGAAGGUCUUCGGAUCGUAAACCUCUGUCAGCAGGGAAGAACGGUCACUGUGCUAAUCAGCAGUGAAUUGACGGUACCUGCAAAGGAAGCACCGGCUAACUCCGUGCCAGCAGCCGCGGUAAUACGGAGGGCGCGAGCGUUAAUCGGAAUUACUGGGCGUAAAGCGCUCGUAGGCGGUAUGUCAAGUCAAGGGUGAAAUCCCCGGGCUCAACGUGGGAACUGCCUUUGAAACUGGCAGACUGGAGUGUGUGAGAGGGUAGUGGAAUUCCAGGUGUAGGAGUGAAAUCCGUAGAUAUCUGGAGGAACAUCAGUGGCGAAGGCGGCUAUCUGGCACAUAACUGACGCUGAGGAGCGAAAGCGUGGGUAGCAAACAGGAUUAGAUACCCGAGUAGUC